AUGAACAAGAUAAAGUUCAAGUUAUGCAGUCUGGGCGUUAAACUUGUUCACAUCCACUUCCUCUGGCAUCCCCAAAACAACGCACACUAUACACCAGUGAUGCUUCCCAUUGGAUACCAGAUGCAUCCUCCUCCCCAGCCUGUCAGGAAGUGUGAGGAGAGAGUGUGCGGGGAUGCGGCCAUCACUCAAGAGUUCAGCCACGCCCUGGGAGCCCCGUGUCCUCUCUCCUCACCCGUUGCCGGGCGCCGCCAUCUUCUUCAAAAAAUCCUAAUAAAAGAAGAAAAAUGGGGAAAUGGCCAAGACAUACGUGAAAAGAUGUUCCACAUAAUUAGCUGUUGUUGUUGUCACUAAGUCAUGUCUGACUCUGCAGCCCCAUGGAUGCACCACGCUGGGCUUCCCUGUCUUUCACUACCUCCUGGAAUUUGCUCAAAUUCAUGUCCAUUGGGCUGGUGAUGAUAUCCAAACAUCGCCCUCAUUAGCCACUAGGGAAAUGCAAAUCAAUGACAACUUCAUACUCACUAGGAUGGUUAUAAUCAAGAUGAACAUUAGCAAAAGCUGGUGAGUGUAUGGAGAAAUGGGAGCACUCACAGAUUGCUAUAUGGAAUAUAAAAUGGUGCAGGAACUUUAGAAAACAGUUAAACAUCAAAAUGUUAAACAGAGUUACCAUGUGACCCAGCAAUUCUACUCCUAGGCAUAUAGUUUACAGAACUGGAAACAUGUUCACACAAAACCUUGUAUCCAAACCUUCCUAGCUAUUAUAUGUUCAUAAUAGUCAAAACAUGGAAACAGUCCAAGUGUCCAUCAAUAAGAGAAUGGGCAAACUGUGCUAAAAAUCAUAAAAUGUUUUUGGCUAUAAAAAAGGAAUGAAGUACAGAUGCAUGCUACAACAUGGAUGAACCUUGAAAACGAUUAUGCUAAGUUAAAGAAGCUGCUUACAAAAUGUCACAAAUUGUAUGCUUCCAUGUGUGUGAAAUGCCCAAGAUAGGUAAUUCCAUGAAGGCAGAAAGAUUUGUGGUAAUAUGGAGAAAUACUAAUGGGUAUAGAGUUUCUUCUUGGGAUGAUGAAAUGCUCUACAUUUAGGUACCGAUGAUGGGUGCACGUAUCUGUGAAUAUACCAGAAACCACUGAGUGCAGACUUUCAACAAAUGAAUUUUCUCUUACGUGAAUUAUCACUUUAAAAAAAGUUUUAAAGGAAUGGAAAAACAUUCAUCAUGCAGACACCAACUGAAAGAAAGCUGGAGUAGGCACCUGACAUAGUGAAACCUAUAGAAACAGAAGACAGAACUGUGGUUGUCAGAGGGAUGGAAGAGGAAGAAAGGGGGACUUGUUCAGUGGGCUCUGUGAGUUUCUAUGAGUUUCAGUUUCACACUAUGAAAAAGUUCUAGAGAUCUGUUGUACAACAAUGUGAAUAUACUUAACACCGCUGAACUGUACACUUGAAAAAUGGUUAAGAUGGUAAAUUUUUUACCACAAUUUAAAAGAUCGUUUUUAGAUCUCAGCACAACUAUGAAAAAACACAUUAAAAAGAAAGCUGGAGUGGCCAACUACAUCUGCUGUUAUUCAGUCACUAAAUCAUGUUGGACUCUUUGCAACCCCAUGCUCUAAACAUCAGUCUCCUCUGUUGUCCACUCACUCCCAGAGUUUGCUCAAACUGAUAUCCAUUGAGUUGGUGAUGCUAUCUAACCAUCUCAUCCUCAUCCUUCUCCUUUUACCUUCCAUCUUUCCCUGCAUCAGGGUCUUUUCCAAUGAGUCAGCUCUUCCUAUCAGAUGGCCAAAGUAUUGGAGCUUCAGCUUCAGCAUCAGUUCUUCCAACAAAUAUUCAGGUUGAUUUUCUUUAGGAUUGACUGCUCUGAUCUCCUUGCAGAAUCUUCUCUAGCACUACAAUUCCAAAGCAUUAAUUCUUCAGUACUCAGCCUUCUUUAUGCUCCAACUUUCACAUCUGUACAUGAUUGGAGUGGUUUGUCAUUUCCUCCUCCAGUCGACCACAUUUUGUCAGAACUCUUCACUAUGAUCUGCCAUCUUGGGUGGCCCUGUGCAGCAUGGCUCAUAGCUUCUUUGGGUUAUGCAAGCCCCUUCACCAUAAUGCUAUGAUCCACGAGGGGCCAAUGACAUUAGUAUCAGACAAAGUAGAAUUUAAAGCAAAGAAAAUUAUCAGGGAUAAAGUGGGACAUUACAUAGUGAUGAAACGAUCCAUUCACCAAGAAGACAAUAAUCCUACAUGAUAUGCUUCUAACAACAGAGAUUCAAAAUAUAUAAGCAAAAACUGGCAGAACAGAAAGGAGGAAGAGACAUUCACAAUUUUAGUUGGAGUGGUCAAUACUCUUCUGUCAGUAAUACAUACAUAGAAUGAAUAGACAAAAAAUCAGCAAGAAAAAAUCAGUAGAAUUGAUCAUCAAGCUACUAAAUUUAAUUGACAUUUAUAGAACGCUCUACCCAAUACACAUUCUCUUAGAACAUGUGAAACAUUCACCAAGAUAGGUCAUAAAAUGAACCAAAUCCUAACCAAUUUAAAAGAAUUAAUAUUAUAAAAGAAUUAGAAGAAUUUAAAUUAUGUAAGGUAUGUUCUCUAACCAUGAUACGAUUAACCUAGAAAUCAGUAAAAGAAAAGUCAUUUCUGUUAGAAAACUAGGAAGGAAAAAUCUCCAAAAGGAAAAUCUCCAAAUACUUGUAACAACACACUUUUAAAUACUCCAUGGGUUAAAAAGGAAGUAUCAAGGGAAAUGAGAAAAUAUUUUUACUCAAAUAAGAAUGAAACUACAACAUACCAAACUUUCUGGGUUACAGUUAAAGUACACAAAGUCCAGUGUAGGUCCUGUGCAGAUAUCUACAAGUAGUGAAUAAUAUAUCCAAGGUAUUGUGACUCUGCCAAAACAUACAAGGGCUUGUGGUUGCCCAGAAACGGAAAGGAAAAUAGAACUCGAAUCCAGAAGUCACCUGUUCAUUUGUAUCGCCAUCGGCUAUGAUGAGUGACAUGACUUCAUGUAACUUGAAAGGGAAGUUUGCAGAAGUUUGUUGGGGCACCCGGAUAAUCAGUGAGCCCUAAUAUCAAUAUAUCUGUUACAGUGACUGCGAGUGUAACAGGGUUCCAUGGACCAGGGUGAUAAUGGCAAAGGAAGGAAGUGUGAGGAUUUGGAAUAUUGGUUCAGUUGGUAAAGAAUCCGCCUGAAUGUGGGAGACCUAGGUUUGAUCCCCUGGUUGGGAAGAUCCCCUGGAGAAGGGAAUGGCUACCCACUCCAGUAUUCUGGUCUGGAGAAUUCCACGGACUAUACAUACAGUCCAUGGGGUGGCAAAGAGUUGGACAUGCCUAAGCAACUUUCACUUUUGGAGGCAGAGCCAAUAGGACUGCUGAUAGAUGCCAGGGUACAAGAAUGGGGGAAGGCAAGAAGGAGGCCUGAUUUAUGAAAAUGAGUCAGUCACCUUAGAAACCUGAGAGAGGAAAUAGUAAGUGCAAAGACCUUGAAAUAAAAGCAGUUUUAUGGUGUUUUAGGAACAGACUGUGGAAAUGUAAUAAACUUGGGGGAUAGUAGUAGAAUAUGAUGUCAGGAGGUAAGAAGGAAUCAGAUCAUAUGGUGCCAUUUAGGCUGUUAAAAGGGAGUUUUUAUCUCAUCCCAUUGAAAACAGGAAGUCACCAAAGGAUUUUUUUUUAAUUAAUUUAUUUGGUUGUGCCAGUCUUAGUUGCAACAUGCGAGUUCUUAGUGGCAGCAUGUGGGAUCUAGUUCCUAACCAGGGAUCGAACCCAAACACUCUGCGUUGGGAGCAUGGAGUCUUGCCACUGGACCACCAGGGAAGACCCUGGUUUUAAGGAUUUUAAACAAAGGGCUGACAUUAUUAGCUUUAGGUUUAAGAGCAAUCCUGCUGGCUCCCAUAUGAGUAAGAGAGGGAUAAACUGUGAGCCAGUUAGGAGACUACUGCUGUAGACCAGGUAAAAGAUGAUAGUAGUCUGAACUAUGGUGAUAACAAGAGAUAGAGACUGAGAUACGCAAAUAAAUAUGGAAUGUAUUUUUUUGGUAAUAGGAUUGAUUAGGACCAAGUGAGUCAUCAGGUUACCUGGUUAUAAUAUAUUCAAGGUGUUGUGACUCUGCCAAAACAUACAAGGUCUUGUGGUUGCCCAGGAAUGGAAAGAAAAAUAGAAUUUGAAUCCAGAAGUGACCUGGUCAUUUAUAGCUCCAUUGGCUAUAGCCAAAAUAUUUUUGAUAGCUACUUAGGCUCUGGAAAGACCAACUGGCAAUUGGACUCAAAGCAUUCAAUUGUUGAGCCUCUAUUACAAAUUCAUAGCAAUGAUAUGGAAACUAAAACGAGAAAACAAAUAGAAAAAAAAAAAGAAGAAAUUUGCUGGAGCCUAAGCCAAGAUAAGUGUUUCUAUGGACUAGAAAUGGGGAAAACAUCACAAAAUCAUGUGUCAGCAGAACCCAGGGGGAUGCUAGCCACUAUUUUAGACCAAAAGUAAUCCAGAAAUAGUUUUCUUGUUCUCCUGGGUGCUUGACACCAGCAGCAGCAGCUCUGUUAUAGCUUCUUGUUUACACGGAUUGUAGAAACCUAGGAAUGGGGAAUCAAGCUGCUUCUGGCUGGCUCUGCAAUUUCAGCCUCCAGGCUGAGUACUGGAGUCCAGGACAGGAAAGAGGCACCCUAGGAAAAGAAAUGUGGAUAUAUCAAACCAGUCAAUCCUAGAGGAAAUCAACCUUGAAUAUUUUAUUGGAAGGACUGAUGCUGAAGCUCCAAUAUUCUGGCCACCCGAUGCGAAGAGUCAACUCAUUGGAAAAAACCCUGAUGCUAGGAAAGAUUGAGGACAAGAGGAGAAAAGGGCGACACACAAUGAGAUGGCUGGAUGGCAUCACCAACUCAGUGGACAUGAGUUUGAGCGCACUCUGAGAGACACUGAAGGACAGGGAAGCCUGAUGUGCUGCAAUUCAUUGGGUCAGAUACGACUUACUGACUGAACAGCAACAACAAGAAGCAAAUAAACAAAAACUGUCUUUUCCACUCUAAAUGGAACUACAAAAUAAAAUUGCAAAACAUCAAGAACUCAAAUGCUAAAAAGGACUUCCCUGGUGGCUCAGACAGUAAAGAAUCUGCCUGCAAUGCAGGAGACCAGGGUUCAAUCCCUGAAUCUGGAAGAUUCCCUGGAGACGGGACUGGCUACACACUCCAGUAUUUUUGCCUGGAGAAGUCCAUGGACAGAGGAGCUGGGCAGGCUAUAUAGUCCAUGGGGUCGCGAAGAGUCA
Molecule: long non-coding RNA, 5222 nt
Filed under: Bos grunniens (domestic yak)
Lineage: Eukaryota; Metazoa; Chordata; Mammalia; Artiodactyla; Bovidae
Description: lncRNA (ENSBGRG00000020269.1)
Source: RNAcentral